GACGAACGCUGGCGGCGUGCUUAACACAUGCAAGUCGAACGGAAAGGCCCUGCUUUUGUGGGGUGCUCGAGUGGCGAACGGAUGAGUAACACGUGAGUAACCUGCCCUUGCCUUUGGGAUAACUUCAGGAAACUGGGGCUAAUACCGGAUAGGAGCUCCUGCUGCAUGGUGGGGGUUGGAAAGUUUCGGCGGUUGGGGAUGGACUCGCGGCUUAUCAGCCUGUUGGUGGGGUAGUGGCUUACCAAGGCUUUGACGGGUAGCCGGCCUGAGAGGGUGACCGGCACGAUUGGGACUGAGAUACGGCCCAGACUCCGACGGGAGGGAGCAGUGGGGAAAAGUGUACUAGGGGCGGGAGCCUUAUGCAGCAACGCCGCGUGCGGGAUGACGGCCUUCGGGUUGUGAAGCGCGUUUGCCUGUGACGAAGGGGGAGUGACGGUAAUGGGUAAAGAAGCACCGGCUAACUACGUG
RNAcentral lists this ribosomal RNA (468 nucleotides) under uncultured bacterium. RNAcentral's name for it is "partial 16S ribosomal RNA". It matches the Rfam family "Bacterial small subunit ribosomal RNA", at positions 28 to 507 of the family's 1533-position model. The record is from RNAcentral.